UCUGGUGUCCUAAGCGUAGAGGAAUAACACUAAUCCAUCCUGAACUUGGUGGUUAAACUCUACUGCGAUGACAAUACUGUAGGAGAGGUCCUACAGAAAAAUAGCUCGACGCCAGGA
This 117-nucleotide ribosomal RNA is filed under the name Gossypium arboreum. The record is from RNAcentral. Lineage: Eukaryota; Viridiplantae; Streptophyta; Magnoliopsida; Malvales; Malvaceae.